AGAGUUUGAUCAUGGCUCAGAAUGAACGCUGGCGGCGUGCUUAACACAUGCAAGUCGCACGAGAAUUCUUCUGCUUGCAGAAGAUAGUAAAGUGGCGCACGGGUGAGUAAUGCGUGGGCAAUCUUCCCUUGAAUCGGGGAUAACAUCGCGAAAGCUUUGCUAAUACCGGAUGACAUCCAUUUGUCUGCGGGCGAAUGGAUCAAAGGUGGCCUCUACAUGUAAGCUACUGUUUGAGGAUGAGCCUGCGUACCAUUAGCUAGUUGGUGGGGUAACGGCCCACCAAGGCGACGAUGGUUAGCUGGUCUGAGAGGAUGAUCAGCCACACUGGAACUGACACACGGUCCAGACUCCUACGGGAGGCAGCAGUGAGGAAUUUUGCGCAAUGGGGGAAACCCUGACGCAGCAACGCCGCGUGAGUAAUGAAGGCCUUCGGGUCGUAAAGCUCUGUCAAGUGGGAAGAACCUGCAGAAAGCUAACAUCUUUUUGCACUGACGGUACCACUGAAGGAAGCACCGGCUAACUCCGUGCCAGCAGCCGCGGUAAUACGGAGGGUGCAAGCGUUAUUCGGAAUUAUUGGGCGUAAAGGGCGCGUAGGCGGCCGUUUAAGUCAGGUGUGAAAGCCCGGGGCUUAACCCCGGAAGUGCAUUUGAUACUGAGCGGCUUGAGUAUGGGAGAGGGAAGUGGAAUU
Molecule: ribosomal RNA, 688 nt
Filed under: uncultured bacterium
Lineage: Bacteria
Description: bacterial SSU rRNA
Rfam family: Bacterial small subunit ribosomal RNA
Source: RNAcentral